This 827-nucleotide ribosomal RNA is filed under the name Lobariella reticulata. Its description in RNAcentral is "eukaryotic LSU rRNA". It matches the Rfam family "Eukaryotic large subunit ribosomal RNA", at positions 103 to 945 of the family's 3401-position model. The record is from RNAcentral. Lineage: Eukaryota; Fungi; Ascomycota; Lecanoromycetes; Peltigerales; Lobariaceae.
AACAGCUCAAAUUUGAAAUCUGGCCCCCGCCGGGGUCCGAGUUGUAAUUUGUAGAGGGUGUUUCGGGCGAGCCACCGGUCUAAGUUUCUUGGAACAGAACGUCACGGAGGGUGAGAGUCCCGUCUGCGACCGGGGUGCGGCGAGCCCAUGUGUAACCCCUUCGACGAGUCGAGUUGUUUGGGAAUGCAGCUCAAAAUGGGUGGUAAAUUCCAUCUAAAGCUAAAUAUUGGCCAGAGACCGAUAGCGGACAAGUAGAGUGAUCGAAAGAUGAAAAGCACUUUGGAAAGAGAGUCAAACAGUACGUGAAAUUGUUGAAAGGGAAGCGCUUGCGACCAGACCGGUCCGGGGGCGAUCAGCCGCGGCUCGCCCGCGGUGCACUCGCCCUCGAUCCGGCCAGCAUCGGUUCGGGCGGCGGGAUAAAAGGCCCGGGAAUGUAGCUCUCCUCGGGGAGUCUUAUAGCCCGGGUCGCAAUGCCGCCCGCCCGGACCGAGGACCGCGCUUCGGCUAGGAUGCUGGCGUAAUGGUUGCAAGCGACCCGUCUUGAAACACGGACCAAGGAGUCUAACAUCUAUGCGAGUGUUUGGGUGGAAAGCCCGGGCGCGGAAUGAAAGUGAACGGAGGUGGGAGCCCUCGGGCGCACCAUCGACCGAUCCUGAUGUCUUCGGAUGGAUUUGAGUAUGAGCAUAGCUGUUGGGACCCGAAAGAUGGUGAACUAUGCCCGGAUAGGGUGAAGCCAGAGGAAACUCUGGUGGAGGCUCGCAGCGGUUCUGACGUGCAAAUCGAUCGUCAAAUCUAGGCAUAGGGGCGAAAGACCAAUCGAACCAUCU